Molecule: long non-coding RNA, 1906 nt
Organism: Xiphias gladius (swordfish)
Lineage: Eukaryota; Metazoa; Chordata; Actinopteri; Istiophoriformes; Xiphiidae
Exons: 3
Source: RefSeq, a predicted model, not a curated record
GCAUCAGGGAAUGCCGCCUCCUGGUGGCGAUUCCCCACCGAUGCACGUCAGUGAGCCCCAGACCCCGACCCGCGCGCACUACAGCGAGUUUUGGGCCUAAGUUAAAGAUAAGGUCAAAAAAAAGUUCACUUUAACUCACAAACUUCAGAAUGAAAACUAUUUAUCAAACUUCUAAAACUGAUCUAUUUGACCGAAGUGAAGGAUAAGUGUCAAAAUCCUGGACUUUUUCCUCCUGCGCUAAGAAUAACGUCUAUGUAUCAAAAUGAUUUCAGUGUGAAAAUGAACUGAAGAGGACUCCGAAGGCGUCGUGGGCUGGUUCACACGAGGGGCGUCAAAGGCUUCGGCCCCAAACCGAGGCCGAACACUCACCUCCUGAGACAAAUUCUGAAAAAGCUGUGAAGAGUAUUAUGAAGGAAGAGACUCAGAUGGACAGUAGUUCAGAGUGUGUCAUUGUUGUUGGUUUUUUUUCUUUGGCAUUCCUCAACAAACAGCAGAACUAAAGCUGGAAUUUAUUUUCCGUACAUCUUCACUUUCUGCGCUCGUCAACGUAUGAAACUCUGUGUUGGAUGAUUUAUAUUCCCCUGGAUCCUGCUCCAGGUUAGUUUUUCUCUUGGUUUCCAUUUCUCUCCAUUUCCGAUUUUUCCAUCCCUAUUUCCAUUUUAUAAAUUUAUGAGACUGUUGUUCAUUUCAAUUUUAAAUUCCUCCUGCUAUUAAGGAUUUCAUUAAAACACGCAGCAAAUGAGCGACACUUCAGGUCCAGGUCAACUCCCAGAUCUUCAGCGUCAAAGUCACCGAGGACAUGGACACAUCUGAAGUGUCAACAGGAAAAUUCAACAAAAAGUAACUGCGUAUUAAUAAAAGAGUUCUAGUGAAGUUCUAGAGCAAAGUCAGCAUCAGGGGUGGGGUUUUUGUGACGGACUGUAAAGUCUAUUUUGAGUCACGAUCUAGAUCAGGGAACCUUUACCUUCUUUAUCCUGACACCCAAAGUUGUGUCCCAGGGCCCAAGGCUCAUCAAUGUAUAGUUAACCACGUAGCCUACUGUCAAGAAAGAGAGAAACAUAGCACCUCAACUCAUGGAACUCAAGUAAAUCGUCUCAUUACAUGUCUAAAUGAACAUUAGACCCGUUAGUGACGGAGUUUUCUAACUAGGUUCGGGCUUAGCGACGACGCUCGGGUGUGGACGGCCUGAACGUCACCCUCCUGACACCUGACACAGACUGAAAACCUGGGAAAAUGUCCCAGCGGGGGGCCAUUGCAGGAGCAAUUUAAAAUCAGCCAGAUCUUUGUCCUAAAGAAACCUUUAACGCCUGGUGUUAGCGCCAGUUGAUGCUGAAGUAUGCUGGGAAAAACACCCCGGGAUUGAACCGAAAUGACAUUUUCUUUUUAAAACCACUGUCUACACACAGAUCUUUUGAUGUGUCUGCUCUAGGCAAACUUGAGAGGAAGUGGUGUGACGUUGACGAUGCACAGUGUCUCUUUGUUUUUUUUCCCCAGAAAACGAGAGAGAAAAGUACCCAAAGUACACGACAAACACUUUGAAUCGCACACACGGUUCUGCUUUCCAGAUUCCAGCUCUUGUCCCUUCCAGAUGUAGGGAGAGCACGGUUACUGAGGGUAACUUCCUUUCUCUCCGGAACACUUCUCAGAAGGUGUGUGCGUCUUCGAGUUUUAAGAAACUGGAUGAAUGGCUUUUACUCUUACGUUGGAAGUCCCCGGGUAGAUCACGUGAGGCAUAAAAAGCCCCAGAACAGCUACUGAUUGGACGAUGUGCUGUGACUGUUGCUGUUCCAAAGGUCAAGACUAAAACGUCAGUCUCAGCUGCUUGAGAAAGCCUGAAAAUGAAGCCAUCUGGUCACAAGACGACACAUCUGCCAAAUGAGCAGCGACCACUCAACCUACCCAUGCC